Molecule: non-coding RNA, 84 nt
Organism: Nemania sp. FL0031
Lineage: Eukaryota; Fungi; Ascomycota; Sordariomycetes; Xylariales; Xylariaceae
Source: the annotation of a GenBank genome assembly
GGACGUGUAGCUCAGCGGUAGAGCAUCUGAUUCCAGUAGAAUGGGGUCUCCAGAAGGUCAUCCGUUCAAAUCGGGUCAUGUUCA